Long non-coding RNA from Taeniopygia guttata (zebra finch), 2606 nucleotides. The record is from Ensembl. NCBI's taxonomy places the organism in Eukaryota, Metazoa, Chordata, Aves, Passeriformes, Estrildidae.
AAUUUGGGGGGGUUGUCCCUGAUUUGGGGGGUUUGAAACCAAAUUUGGGGAGAAACAGAGAAUUUGGGGGGUUUGUCCCCAAAACUGGGAAAUUUGUCCCUGAAUUUGGGGAGAAAUUGAGAAUUUGGAGAAUUUGUCUCUGAAUUUGGGGGUUUGUCCCUGAAUUUGGAGGGUUUAAAACCAAAUUUGGGGAGAAACAGAGAAUUUGGGGGGUUUGUACCCGAUUUUCGGGGAUUUGUCCCCAGAUUUUGGGGUUCGUCCCCAAAUUUGGGAAGAAAUUGGGAAUUUGGGGGGUCGUCCCUGAAUUUGGAGGGUUUGAAGCUAAAUUUGAGGAGAAAUGGAGAAUUUUGGGGGUUUGUCCCCAAAACUGGGAAAUUUGUCCCUGAAUUUGGGGAGAAAUGGAGAAUUCGGAGAGUUUAUCCCGAAUUUGGGGGUUUGUGCCUGAAUUUGGGAAAAAUGGGAGAACUUGAGGGGUUUGACCCCAAAUUUUGGGGUAUUGCCCCUGAAUUUGGGCAGAAACAGAAAAUUUGGGGGAUUUUACCUGAUUUUGGGGGAUUUGUCCCCAAAUUUGGGGAUUUUGCCUCUGAUUUUGGGCAGAAACAGAAAAUUUGGGGGAUUUGUACCUGAUUUUGGGGGAUUUUUCCCCAAAUUUGGGGAUUUUGCCCCCGAAUUUUGGGGUUUUUGGGCAAAAAUCUGGUUUAACUCCCUGAAUUCCCCUCCACCCUCCCAAAGCCACACAUUUGGGGGAAAAAAGGAGAAUUUUGGGACUUUGGAGCUUUAAUUAAGGCGAGGGGGAGGGGGAGGGAAAUUUGAGGGGGAAUGGGGGAAUUUGGGGGCUGGCCCCGAAAUCUGGGGGAAAUCCCCUGAAAAAUCAAAAUUUUGGGGGAGAAAAGGGGAGAAAUGAGAUGGGAGCUCCUGGAGAACGCGGGAAUUUGGGAUUUAGCCCCAAAAACGCACCAAAACACCCCAAAAACCAAAAAAACCCAAAAUGCACCUAGAACUGCUCAAAAUCCCCUAAAAACCCCAAAAACCACUUGGAACCAACCAAAAAAACCCUAAAAAACCCCCAAAACCACUAAAAUCAACCAAAACCCACCAGGAACUGAUCAAAAGCUCAUUAAAAAACCCCAAAAACCACCUGGAACUGCUCAAAAACCCCUAAAAAAAACCCCAAAACCACCUGAGACCAACCAAAAACCUCAAAAACUCACCAAAAACUGCCUGGAACCGCUUAAAAACUCCUAAAACCCCCUAAAACUACAAAAAUCACCCAAAUACCCCUAAAAAACACCAAAACCCCCUGAAAACACCAAAAAACACCCAGAACUAUCCCCAAAGUAACCAAAAACCUCCAAAAAUACCCCAAAAACCACCCGGGACCCCUCAGGGGGGAAAAAGGAAAAAUUGAACCUGACUCUCAAAAUUGGGGGGAAAAGGCCAAAAACUGAACCAGAGUCCCAAAAUUGGGGGGAAAAGGCCAAAAAUCGAACCUGAGUCCCAAAAUUGGGGGGAAAAGGCCAAAAAUCGAACCUGAGUCCCAAAAUUGGGGGGAAAAGGAAAAAAUCGAAUCUUAGUCCCAAAAUUGGGGGGAAAAGGCCAAAAACCGAACCUGAGCUCCCAAAAUUGGGGAUUUAAUUUAAGCUUUUGGGGUUUAAUUUAAUUAAAGUUUUUGGGGGGCUUAAUUAAAAAUUUAGGGGGAUUAAUUAAAGCUUUUCGAAGAUAAUUUAAAGCUUUUUGGGGGUUUAAUUAAAGCUUUUGGGGUUUAAUUAAAGACCCAAAUUCAGUAAGCGCCCCCAAAGCCAGGCUUGGCCACGCCCACAUUUAAAUUAGCCCCGCCCCUCGCAGCAUUAUUAAUCCUUAAUUAGCAUUAAUUAGCCCCUUAACGAUUAGCCACGCCCCUGGGUGGGUUAAUUAUGCAAACGAACGCCCCCAAAGGGAGAGAAUUAGGCCCAGCCUGGCGCGCAAGAGGUUAAUUAAUUAAUUAAGAUGUUAAUCAGGGCUAAACCACGCCUCCACAACGAAGGGGGCAGCCCCAUCCACGCAGGGGUUAAUUAAUUAAUUACCUCAGGGAAUCAAACCCCGCCCCCGCAGGGGUUAAUUAAACCCGGAGCGAGCUCAUUAAUUAAUUAACCGGGAAGUCAAACCCCGCCCCAGAACAAAACCACGCCCCUAAAGCCAAACCCCGCCCCCGGCGGGGUAAAUCCCGGCCCUGAAGGGGUUAAUUACACCCCCCAGCGCAGUCAUUAGUUAAUUACGCAGAGCAAUUAGUUAAUGAGGGCGUAGCCCCGCCCACCGCGGGUUUGGCCACGCCCCUCGCGGCCCUGAGGGGGCGCCCCUCACUCCCCCCCCUUUUCCCGCCUCGCUCCCUCACGCGCCGCCGCCAUUUCCACCCCCCAAAAACCUUUCCCGACACCUCCGGGCGGCUCUCCGCCUCGCGAACCCUCCCGGAGCCCCUCGGGACCCUCCCGGAGCCUCCCCCGCUGCCCCUCACCGCUCCGGGCACCGCCGCGCUGCCGCCGCCGCCGCCGCCGCUUCCUCCGGGGGCUGAGCGCAAAAUGGCGCCCGCGCCGCCCUCAGCGCCGCCAGCGCCGCUAAACCCGCCCACG